UACGUACGGUGCGAGCGUUGUCCGGAAUUAUUGGGCGUAAAGGGCUCGUAGGCGGUUUGUCGCGUCGGGAGUGAAAACUCAGGGCUUAACCCUGAGCCUGCUUCCGAUACGGGCAGACUAGAGUACUGCAGGGGAGACUGGAAUUCCUGGUGUAGCGGUGAAAUGCGCAGAUAUCAGGAGGAACACCGGUGGCGAAGGCGGGUCUCUGGGCAGUAACUGACGCUGAGGAGCGAAAGCGUGGGGAGCGAACAGG
This 253-nucleotide ribosomal RNA is filed under the name uncultured bacterium. Its description in RNAcentral is "partial 16S ribosomal RNA". It matches the Rfam family "Bacterial small subunit ribosomal RNA", at positions 524 to 776 of the family's 1533-position model. The record is from RNAcentral.